RNAcentral lists this ribosomal RNA (253 nucleotides) under uncultured bacterium. RNAcentral describes it as "partial 16S ribosomal RNA". It matches the Rfam family "Bacterial small subunit ribosomal RNA", at positions 524 to 776 of the family's 1533-position model. The record is from RNAcentral.
UCCGGAGGGUGCAAUCGUUAAUCGGAAUUACUGGGCGUAAAGCGCACGCAGGUGGCUGAGUCAGUCGAUUGUGAAAGCCCUGGGCUUAACCUGGGAAUUGCAGUCGAUACUACUCGGCUAGAGUAUGGGAGAGGGCAGUGGAAUUCCCGGUGUAGCGGUGAAAUGCGUAGAUAUCGGGAGGAACAUCAGUGGCGAAGGCGGCUGCCUGGCCCAAUACUGACACUCAGGUGCGACAGCGUGGGGAGCAAACAGG